AGAUGCGAUCAUACCAGCACUAACGUAACGGAUCCCAUCAGAACUCCGAAAUGAAGCGUNUGCUUGGGCGAGAGUAGUACUAGGAUGGGUGACCCCCUGGGAAGUCCUCAAGUUGCAUCUC
This 121-nucleotide ribosomal RNA is filed under the name Nicotiana sylvestris (wood tobacco). The record is from RNAcentral. Lineage: Eukaryota; Viridiplantae; Streptophyta; Magnoliopsida; Solanales; Solanaceae.